This is a long non-coding RNA of Equus caballus (horse), 2725 nucleotides long. NCBI's taxonomy places the organism in Eukaryota, Metazoa, Chordata, Mammalia, Perissodactyla, Equidae. The record is from Ensembl.
UGGGGGGGCAGUUGAUUUGCGUGCCAGUGACAAUUGUAUUCUCAGCCAGUCCCACAGCAGCCAGCAGCCCUGGAGCUGGGAAGGCCCUGCAGAGCUGUAAGGGGCCUGGUUUAUACCCCAGCACCCAGCAGUCAUUCUAGGUGGGAUUCCGGGCUCCCUUAUGUAGCCUCAGGCAAGAUGUCUCUCCUCAGCUGAAGGCAAGCAGGCCUCAGGGAAGGACCAGCUGACUGCUGCUCGCCAUCAGCACUCCCCACAGCUGGGGAAAGAGGAUCUCAGUCCUGGAGGGGAUCUGGCAGCACGCCAAAGCAUCCAUUGCAGCCCUCGUCCGUGGCGUCUAAAUGAUGCAGGCGCAUGAGAUCGCACACAUUGAUCCGUUUCCUUCACGCAAGUCUGCUAAUGGCCGAUCUCCUCUUGAAGUGGUCAAAUUCUAAGACUAGACAUGAAAAGAAAAGUAUGAGGUAUCACAGUUACCCUCUCAAAUCCUAGUGAGAUGCUCCUGCCCAGAGAGGCCACGGGAAUGGAAACCAACUGAAGGAACAAAUACUAAUCUUUGCGUGCUCUGCUCUUGAGGAGCCAGGAAGAGCUGCGUGUUCGAGGGGGAGAUGGACACACGAUAAACAUGGAGCACGACAAAUAACGAUAAACACGGAGCAGUGGAGACCAGGUCCACCGAUCCCCAGACUGAGCCGGAUGCUAAGGUCACGUUAGGCAUGGUGAAUUGGCUCCCCCCCAGCGGCCUGUCAUCCCCCCGCACCCUGCGGAAGAGCUGCAGAACAUACCCAGUAGCUACCCACCCGAGGAGGAGGAGAGCCACGUGGAGCAGGCCUGGGCUCAACCUGCAUCCUGAACCAAGCCCAGCUGCAUUCCGGCUGACCUGCAGACAUGUGAACAAGAAAUCAGUGCUUACCGUUGGAUGCCCCUGAGUUUUGGAAGAGGUUUGUAAUGCAGCAUUGUUAGAGUAACAGCUGACUGCUACAAUGUAGCCAUCUCGCCAUCCUAAUGAAUGUGAGGUGACCCAUUUAAUUUUUAAUUUAAAUUUUUGACAAGAUAAUCCAGUCAUGUGGAUGAAAAAAUCAAAGAAAUGACAAAAAGAUCAAUAGUCGAAAAUAUUUCUCCUGUCCUCAUUCCCAUGCCCUCUGAAACAAAACUUCUCAGGGUUCACUGUCGUCAUGAAGACAUACUUUAGCAUCACUAAAUGUAUCUGCCUUUGUGAUUUGCAAGAGGGAGCAAAGAGCAUGCUAACGGACUUGGGAGGAUGCUGCAUUAACUGCAAACUUCGUACUACAAACAUAGAAAUAAGGAAAGCAGGCAUCGAGGUGCUAGACGUGUGGUCAGGAAGUGAAAAAAGUGAGCUGCCGUUGGAAAAGAAAUGAUUAAUAAAGAGUAUUGUUAGGAUGGAGUCAAAGUGGAAGGUAGACGGUGACGUUCUUGGAUUUCUUUGAACGAGUUCACGUUGUCCUAAGAAGGUGGGGUACAUCGCUGGACACGAUACACCUUCAGAAACGGUCGAUCGACACCGUGUGGACUCACCCCAAGCUUCUGCAGCAGUCGCUCACCUACGGAACGGGGACUUCAUACCAAUGGGGGCUCGUCAUCCGGUGGCUGUGAGGGUUGAAUGAGAUGAUAUGAGUGAAGACUUGGAAUACAGCUCGGCAUCGUGUUUUAUAAAUGCGAGGCAGCUGUUCUGGAAAACAAACGAAGAGCCAGCCUCCGGGACUCUCGCGUGACUGAUCCCCUGUGAGGCCUGGGGUUGCUGGGGGCUGUGGAGUGUUCGAGGUGCGUACCGAAACCAGGCCACUUUCAGGAAGCGUUUCUAUUUCAGUUUUCCUGGCAAAUUACCUUGAGAGAUCUGAGAAGAAAGGGAUGCGAGUUUCCAAGACACUUAUGAUGUGUUUUUAUUUCCUAGUUUUAAAUAAAUAUGCACUUCCAUACCUGGUGUUGUGUACAUGAUUUUGUGUUUUUCUGAAAGAGGGUCUCCAAAAUUGUCUACAGUCCUGCAGCACUUAGCUCUGUCCCCGAUGCCUCACUGUUAUUAUGAUGGUCAGGAGGUUUAGGGAGAGGCAAAGGAUGUCCUAGUUUUUGAAAACAUGGAUUACAGAAAUUAAUAGGCAGUCGAAAGGAUGUCAGCGCUUCAUAAAGCUCUUGCCUCCCUCCCUGCCUGUCGGCUUUCCUCCCUUCCUUCUUCCCUCUCUGCAUUCUUCCCUCCCUUUCUUUCCCAAGCAUGCUGCUCCAGACACUGUUCUAAGCGCUGACACUAUCAGAUCCCGCUCUCACGGAGCUUAUAUUGUAGUUGAGGCAGCACAGAAGGAAGCAAAGCACAAAUAAUAUAUUUCGCACACCCAUGAGUGCUGGGAAGCAAAAUAGAGCAGGCUGAUGGGAGAGGGCAAGUGGGGGGAGGGAUGCUUUAGGUCAGGCGACCUGCAAAGCCCUUGUAGAGUGGUGACGUUUCAGCUGAGACCUGAAUGGUGAGCAGGCACCAUCCUGGAGCGUGGAGGGGUGUUCCAGGCAGAGCCAAGAGCAAAUGUAAGAUCCCAAGGUGAGAGGAGGCUUGGCAUGUGUGUGUGUGGAGGGGUGGCAGCUGGAGCAGCAGGGAGAAGCAGGAGAAAGAGGAGGACGAGGAUGAGGAGGAAGGUGGUGCUUUAGGUAGCGGCCAUGUAACAGGGGUUUUGUUUGUCCCAGUCAGAAGUUUGGAUUUUACUGCAAAUAUUAUGGGACAUCAUUGCGG